CCUACGGGUGGCAGCAGUGAGGAAUAUUGGUCAAUGGGCGCGAGCCUGAACCAGCCAAGUCGCGUGAAGGAAGACUGCCCUAUGGGUUGUAAACUUCUUUUGUCGGGGAGUAAAAUUCACUACGUGUACUGCUCUGCGUGUACCCUAUGAAUAAGCAUCGGCUAACUCCGUGCCAGCAGCCGCGGUAAUACGGAGGGUUCGAGCGUUAUCCGGAUUUAUUGGGUUUAAAGGGUGCGUAGGCGGGAUGUUAAGUCCGGUGUUAAAGUUUGCGGCUCAACCGUAACAUUGCAGUUGAUACUGGCAGUCUUGAGUAAAGGAGAGGUAGGCGGAAUGCGUGGUGUAGCGGUGAAAUGCUUAGAUAUCACGAAGAACUCCGAUUGCGAAGGCAGCAUACUGGACUGUAACUGACGCUGAUGCUCGAAAGUGUGGGUAUCAAACAGGAUUAGAUACCCCUGUAGUC
This 460-nucleotide ribosomal RNA is filed under the name uncultured bacterium. Its description in RNAcentral is "partial 16S ribosomal RNA". It matches the Rfam family "Bacterial small subunit ribosomal RNA", at positions 338 to 795 of the family's 1533-position model. The record is from RNAcentral.